RNAcentral lists this ribosomal RNA (301 nucleotides) under uncultured bacterium. Its description in RNAcentral is "partial 16S ribosomal RNA". It matches the Rfam family "Bacterial small subunit ribosomal RNA", at positions 509 to 809 of the family's 1533-position model. The record is from RNAcentral.
CAGUCGCCACGGGAAUACGUAGGGUGCGAGCGUUAAUCGGAAUUACUGGGCGUAAAGCGUGCGCAGGCGGUUAUAUAAGACAGAUGUGAAAUCCCCGGGCUCAACCUGGGACCUGCAUUUGUGACUGUAUAGCUAGAGUACGGUAGAGGGGGAUGGAAUUCCGCGUGUAGCAGUGAAAUGCGUAGAUAUGCGGAGGAACACCGAUGGCGAAGGCAAUCCCCUGGACCUGUACUGACGCUCAUGCACGAAAGCGUGGGGAGCAAACAGGAUUAGAUACCCGAGUAGUCCCUGUCUCUUAUAA